AUGAAGGCGCCCUUGGGGGCGAGGAACAUGGUGGCGAGGCGGACGGCGUCGAUGACGAGGGCGGACUGGGUGGUGGCCUCCUGCGCCCAGGCGCCGCCGACGUUGGGCGAGCCGUCGUGGAGGACGACGUCGAAGGAGGCGACGCCCUUGGAGUCCAUGAGCUUGCGCACGGCGGAGCGGCACUUGGAGGUGGUGAUGUCCUCGGUGAGGGAGUGCGCGCCGCGGAUGGGGCGGAUGGGCACGAGGUCGACGCCGACGACGAAGGCGCCGACGGGCGCGUGGUUGACGGCCACCUGCACCCACCCGCCGGGCGCCGCGCAGAGGUCGAGCACCGCCCGCGCCGUCGGCAGGAACCGGAACCGCGCGUCGAGCUGUAGUAGCUUGAAGGCCGCUCGGCUCCGGUACCCCUGCUCCUUGGCGAGGUGGUAG
RNAcentral lists this ribosomal RNA (429 nucleotides) under Triticum aestivum (bread wheat). Its description in RNAcentral is "partial small subunit ribosomal RNA". Lineage: Eukaryota; Viridiplantae; Streptophyta; Magnoliopsida; Poales; Poaceae. The record is from RNAcentral.